RNAcentral lists this small RNA (132 nucleotides) under Enterobacter asburiae. Its description in RNAcentral is "RtT sRNA". It matches the Rfam family "RtT RNA". From Rfam's summary of the family: This family represents a bacterial cis-regulatory element known as RtT RNA. The exact function of RtT is unknown although it is thought that it may be involved in changing the cellular response in relation to amino acid starvation. Lineage: Bacteria; Pseudomonadati; Pseudomonadota; Gammaproteobacteria; Enterobacterales; Enterobacteriaceae. RNAcentral also lists the same sequence under 1 other name. The record is from RNAcentral.
UGCUUCUGAAGUUUAUGAGGAUGAGAAUCUCCGGGGCAGGAGGUUCGACCCUCGCGAAGCGAGAGAACGUUGCUUUAGCAACGGCCCGAAGGGCGAGCCACGCAGUGGCGAGUCAUCCUCUCUCGCCGACCA